This 440-nucleotide ribosomal RNA is filed under the name uncultured bacterium. RNAcentral describes it as "partial 16S ribosomal RNA". It matches the Rfam family "Bacterial small subunit ribosomal RNA", at positions 338 to 795 of the family's 1533-position model. The record is from RNAcentral.
CCUACGGGAGGCAGCAGUGGGGAAUAUUGGACAAUGGGGGGAACCCUGAUCCAGCGACGCCGCGUGAGUGAAGAAGUAUUUCGGUAUGUAAAGCUCUAUCAGCAGGGAAGAAAAUGACGGUACCUGACUAAGAAGCCCCGGCUAACUACGUGCCAGCAGCCGCGGUAAUACGUAGGGGGCAAGCGUUAUCCGGAUUUACUGGGUGUAAAGGGAGCGUAGACGGUGCAGCAAGUCUGAUGUGAAAGGUCGGGGCCCAACCCCGGGACUGCAUUGGAAACUGUGGAACUGGAGUACAGGAGAGGGAAGCGGAAUUCCUAGUGUAGCGGUGAAAUGCGUAGAUAUUAGGAGGAACACCGGUGGCGAAGGCGGCCUGCUGGACUGUGACUGACGUUGAGGCCCGAAGGCGUGGGGAGCAAACAGGAUUAGAUACCCGUGUAGUC